Molecule: unclassified non-coding RNA, 275 nt
Filed under: Striatibotrys atypica
Lineage: Eukaryota; Fungi; Ascomycota; Sordariomycetes; Hypocreales; Stachybotryaceae
Description: sequence contains 5.8S rRNA gene
Rfam family: 5.8S ribosomal RNA (bases 1-53)
Source: RNAcentral
GAACGCACAUUGCGCCCGCCGGCAUUCCGGCGGGCAUGCCUGUCCGAGCGUCAUUUCAACCCUCAGGGUCCUCCGCCUAGCGCGGCCGGGCCCUGGUGUUGGGGAUCGGCCCGCCCCGCGCGGCGCCGUCCCCUAAAAUCAGUGGCGGUCCCGCCGCAGCCUCCCCUGCGCAGUAGUUACCAACUCGCACUGGAGCGCGGCGCGGCCAUGCCGUAAAACCCCCGACUUCUGGAAAGUUGACCUCGGAUCAGGUAGGAAUACCCGCUGAACUUAAG